This 239-nucleotide ribosomal RNA is filed under the name uncultured bacterium. RNAcentral describes it as "partial 16S ribosomal RNA". It matches the Rfam family "Bacterial small subunit ribosomal RNA", at positions 15 to 244 of the family's 1533-position model. The record is from RNAcentral.
GAUCAUGGCUCAGGAUGAACGCUAGCUACAGGCUUAACACAUGCAAGUCGCGGGGGCAGCAUGAAGGAUGCUUGCAUCCUUUGAUGGCGACCGGCGCACGGGUGAGUAACGCGUAUCCAACCUGCCUGUUACCACGGCACAGCCCGUCGAAAGGCGGAUUAAUGCCGUAUGUGGUCCUUUGCGGGCAUCUAAUUAGGACUAAAGGUUCGGCGGUAACGGAUGGGGAUGCGUCCGAUUAG